UUGACAUACCCUGAGGUUCUUCAAAAUGAUUGUCCCUUUGAGUGCUUCUCUUCAUGUGUCUUGGUGCCUUGAGCUCAUUGUCAGAGAUUUGUAGCAGCAGUAUCCUGAGAGAUGGCACAUGACCAGCUUCUCAUGCUGCUACAACCAGCUAGCUGGUACUCAUCUCCAACCACCCCUCCGUUCCUUUUCUACCACAGAAAAAUAGUGUGUGACUCCAAAACAGAGGGAAGGGGAAUAGUGGAGCUCCUCACAGGGACAACCUUUUCAAAGACCCUCAGUCACUGCACAAAGUGAGUAACCCUGUCGUCUUUGAGAUGUCCCUGUUGGUGCUCCACUUUAGAUAGCUAUGGAGCAGUGCCUCCAUAUAUAAGGAGGGACUCUGGAAUUUAUCAUUCAACAGUAGGGAGUACAGAAUGGCUGAACUGUAUCUGCUAAGUACUAUUUUUCUAGGGCAUAGUUUUUUGGUGAAUGUUUGCACUGAAGCCCAUGAAACUGUCUAUGAUUGGAAUGUUGUGGAGAAAUGACAGAAAGGUAUAUACCGCUUUGGUGGAAUGAAUGUGCACAAAGGGAGGAGCUGGAAUUUUGUUCCGAUUGUAGCAAAGAUGGGCACAUAGCAAUAUCCACUUGGAUAAUCUAUGAUUUGCAAUGGGAUCUCCUUUGGAAUGUUCAGUGGUGGAGAGGAUAAGGUGAGGUGAUUUUUAAAUGGUUCUGUCCUUUCAAAGUAAAAGCAAGGGCUCAGGGGAUAUUGAGGGUUUGUAGGGAGGAGUUGUUGGCCUCAGGUAAAAGCUAGGUAAGUAUGUAAACUGAUUCAAGUGAAAAAAAUACAACUUUGGGAGAAAUUUCUGAUUGUGGUCUGAGGAUAACUAUCUUUUUGGAAAAUUAUAUAUGGUGACUCAGCCACUAAAGUGGCUAUUUUACUCACCCUCCUGGCAGUGGUAAUUGCAAUGAAGAAGGAGCAUAUUGUUUGAAGUUCAAAAGGCCUGCCACCUUUGAGUGUGCAGAGGACCAAAGGUCCCAUAGCAGAAUAGGUUGUUUUAGUGUGAGUGGGGGAAGGAAGGGAGAUAUUAUUCAGCUUUUUUAAGAAGUGAUGAUGGGCGAUCAUUCGUUGCUGAUUACGAUCAUCUUCCAGGGGAAUUGUGGAUCAAGUGGCUGAUAAGGCCAAUCCUUGAACCACACGUUCAAAAAAAUCUGCAAGACGACUGAAUCACACACCCACUGCCUAUGUGUUGGUCUAUGACUAAGAAUUCCUGUAUAUCACUUUUCCCAUUGCUAUUUGCCAUCACACUUUUGACUUGUGUAAGUGUUGUUUUCCCAGAAACUAGAAGAUGCCUAUGCAAGACUUCUUUUAAAGUGGGGAGACUGGUGUACAACAGUAACCACACUGUCCUUGGCAGAUAGAGGGCUUGAAACGAAUAGCAUGGACACCAUGACAAUUGGAGAUCCUCUAUCUGCUACAGCCUUCACAGCCAUUGUAACAUUACAUAACAGUUUCACAUCCAUUGUGCAGUUAUCCUCUAUCUGUUCUGCCAUUCAGGAUUUCUUGGAUCACACUUUGUCUGGAACCUCGCCCUAGGUCUUCCUCCCAUCCUGUACCUGACUCCGACUCCACGCAGUGUUGCUCUCGGCCAUCACUGGAACAUGUAAAAGACUAAUACCCUGCGGACAUUCAGAAUAUACAGUGCUGCCUGCUUGCUAUCCUCAUGUGGUUUUGGGAAGAACACAGACAGGAAUGCAGUCUAGAUGAGCCCUAAUUGAUAGUCCGGUGUCCUGCAAGUGAGUGAUAAAUUCUAGUAUGUCCAAAAUCCCUGCCUUGUGUGGAUCCUGUGCUCAAGCCAAAUUCCAGGCCACAAAUCUGGCCCACUUCUGCAGGUAAGUUCAUCUCAUAGUGGAUCUCCUGGAAUUAAUUAGGAUAUCUCUGAGCCUUUGAGACAGGGUUAGCUCUUUGUGUGAGAGCCAACAAGCAUCCAGGCUAACAGGUUUAGUGUAUGUAGCCCGGGUGUGAUUUACACCCCCAUCCUGAGUCAAGAGAGCUCGUAGCAGGGGAAACUUGUACUGCUGACGUGUAUUGAGUUGGAGUAUGGUAGGGUAUCAAAUUUGUCUUGGUCAAUUAGAGGCUAUGAGUAUGACCCUGGCUGCCUCCAGUUUGACCUUUAUUACCGUUUGAUGUAUUAGAGGUAUAAGUGGAAAUGCACAUGCCAGUGGGAAGUCCCAGUGUUUUGCAAAUGCAUCUCCGAGAGAUUGCGGUCCAAUACCUGCCUUGGGACACUACCGGGAGCACUUGGAAUUGAUGUGUGUUACAAACAAGUCUACAACUGGGUAUCCCCAUCUCCUGAAAAGGUUAUUUAUGAUACAUUUCUUGAUCUCCCAUUCGUGGUUCUGUGGGAAUUGUCUGCUGAGGCCAUCUGCUAGUACAUUGUUCUUGCCAGGCAAAUGUAUAGCAGUUGGUGUGAUGUUGCAUAUAAUAUACCAAUUACCAUAGUUUUGUUGCUUCUGCACAUAGGCUAUGAGACCUCGUGCCCCCCGCCUGUUUAUGUAAUACGUCGUUGUGACAUUGUCCGAAAAUAUCCUUAUGGUUUUGUUUUGUAUGUGUGGAAGCAGUAGGGAGCAUGUCCUCCUCACUGCUCUGAGUUCCAGCAUAUUAAUUUGAAGCCGGAACUCUUUGUGUGUCCAUUGUCCCUGUAAUAUCACACUCCCUAAGUGGGCUUCCUAUCCUAGCAGGGACGCAUCUGUCAUGAUAGUGACGGAUGGCAUCGGCAUCUGAAAUGGAAGUCCUAUACAGACGUUGUUUAAGUCUGUCCACCAAUCUAGGGUGGCUUUGACCCGGCUGGGCAUGUGGAGUGUCUUGUGGAAUGGAUUGUGACUGGAGUAUAGCCAUGCCUGAAAUGGCCUCAUAUGUAGACAGGCAUUUGAGACCACAAACGUGGACUCUGCCAUGUGUCUAAGUAUUUGAAGGCAUGUAUAUGCUGUGGUGUGCGCGCCACUCUGUAUGGACAGGAUCAAGUCACACAUUCUCGACCAUCUGUUGGUCGGCAGUGAGGCUUUUCCCUGAGUGCAGUCCAAUUGUGCCCUGAUAAACUUCAGUGACUGGGUAGGAGUGAGGGUGCACUUUUCCAAAUUCAGUAGGACCCCGAUCAUAUUGAAUAACACUCUUGUUGACUCCAGUGACUGUUCCGUGUCACCAUAGGUGGAUGCCAUGAUCAGACAAUCAUUGAGAUAUGGAAAUAUGUUUGUUUUUUUCACAGGUGUGCAGCUACCACAGAUAGAACUUUGGAAAAAAACUCUGGGGGCUGCUGACAACCCGAAGGGGAGCACCCUGUACUGAUAGUGCAGCUGUAUCCCUAGUGUGUGGAGCAUUGCCCUGGAGUCCUUCAAUGUGUAGACAACUGAGUUUGUUGCCUCUGCGAAGAGCUUCUCACCCUUGAAUGGGAGAUCCUCGAUGUUUGACUGAACCUUCCUGGGAAAUCCUAACAGCUGCAGCAAUGACAUCCAUCUCAUCACUACUGCAGAUGCCAUUGACCUGGCUGCUGUGUCUGAUGCAUCUAACCCAGCCUGCAGAGCUGUUUGGGAAAUCAAUGAACCUUCUCUGAUAUUUGAUUUGAAUUGCUCCCUCACGUCCUCUCGUAUGUAUUGAAUAAAGGAACUGAAUGAU
Molecule: non-coding RNA, 3649 nt
Organism: Pelodiscus sinensis (Chinese soft-shelled turtle)
Lineage: Eukaryota; Metazoa; Chordata; Testudines; Trionychidae
Source: RefSeq, a predicted model, not a curated record